AAUGUUCUUCUGUCUAAAAACAAAUAUGGCCCUUUUCUGUAAAAUUUUUACGAUUUUAGCUUAUUUUAGCAGGAAAUUCAUCGGGAGAGUUUCAUCUUUCAUUGAGUUGCAAUGCCUUGUGUUAUGAUUGAAAUUUUGUUUGUUUCUCUUCUCUCUGUAUUCUUAGCCUAUUGUAGUUUCACUCUAUUUUGCAGGAUUAUAUCUCCAUGCUGUAUGUAAGACAAAGUUUGCGGUAGACACAUCAAGAGGAGAAAGACUUCGGACAAAUGUAGAAUCCAUUUCUUGUAAUUACUAUUUUUUGACAUCACACAGCUAAACACUAUUGUGUUCCUAAUUUCAGUAAUCUCUCAUUUUCAUUGCCUUACUCUCUUUAAGUAUGUGUUGAACCUUUUCGAUUUUUAUUUCCUUCAUAAGCGUAACAUUUGUUACCCGAUUAUUACAAUUAUGUACCUCGUCUUUGGCUCAUUUAUGACGUUGAAUUUAUAUUUUUUUUUGAAUAAAUCAGUGAAGUUGUAAUUAAAAUAUAAAAACAAUUUAUUUGUUUAUCGGA
RNAcentral lists this long non-coding RNA (550 nucleotides) under Olea europaea subsp. europaea. Lineage: Eukaryota; Viridiplantae; Streptophyta; Magnoliopsida; Lamiales; Oleaceae. The record is from RNAcentral.